This 468-nucleotide ribosomal RNA is filed under the name uncultured bacterium. RNAcentral's name for it is "partial 16S ribosomal RNA". It matches the Rfam family "Bacterial small subunit ribosomal RNA", at positions 28 to 507 of the family's 1533-position model. The record is from RNAcentral.
GACGAACGCUGGCGGCGUGCUUAACACAUGCAAGUCGAACGGAAAGGCCCUGCUUUUGUGGGGUGCUCGAGUGGCGAACGGGUGAGUAACACGUGAGUAACCUGCCCUUGACUUUGGGAUAACUUAAGGAAGCUGGGGCUAAUACCGGAUCGGAGCUCCUGUAGCAUGGUGGGGGUUGGAAAGUUUCGGCGGGUGGGGAUGGACUCGCGGCUUAUGAGCUUGUUGGUGGGGGAGUGGCUUACCAAGGCAUUGACGGGUAGCCGGCAUGAGAGGGUGACCGGCCACAUUGGGACUGAGAGACGGCCCAGACGCCUACAGGGGGCAGCAGUGGCGAAUAUUGCACAAUGGGCGGAAGCCUGAUGAAGCAGCGCCGCGUGCGGGAUGACGGCCUGCGGGUUGUAAACCGCUUUCGCCUGUGACGAAGCGUUAGUGACGGUAAUGGGUAAAUAAGCACCGGCUAACUACGUG